UCAAAACUCAUUCUUCGAUUUCUAAGCAAAACUUGUACUCACCUAGUUGUGUUUGCAGGGGUUGAGGAUUGGCUCUAUGGUCCCGUGUUUCAACUGUCAAUCAACUGCACAUCAGUGUCUACUUACUGCUGAAGCAAGUACCUUCAUCAGGGUUCCCAAAGAUCAUAUCUUAGAAGGGUCGAAGACGUCCAUUAUUUUGAAGCCAUCAAAUAGAAAA
This is a non-coding RNA of Procambarus clarkii (red swamp crayfish), 217 nucleotides long. Lineage: Eukaryota; Metazoa; Arthropoda; Malacostraca; Decapoda; Cambaridae. The record is from RefSeq and is a predicted model, not a curated record.